This 773-nucleotide ribosomal RNA is filed under the name uncultured bacterium. RNAcentral describes it as "bacterial SSU rRNA". It matches the Rfam family "Bacterial small subunit ribosomal RNA", at positions 8 to 796 of the family's 1533-position model. The record is from RNAcentral.
AGAGUUUGAUCAUGGCUCAGGAUGAACGCUGGCGGCGUGCUCAACACAUGCAAGUCGAACGAUGAAGCCAGCUUGCUGGUGGAUUAGUGGCGAACGGGUGAGUAACACGUGAGUAACCUGCCCUUAACUCUGGGAUAAGCCUGGGAAACUGGGUCUAAUACCGGAUAUGACUCCUCAUCGCAUGGUGGGGGGUGGAAAGCUUUUUGUGGUUUUGGAUGGACUCGCGGCCUAUCAGCUUGUUGGUGAGGUAAUGGCUUACCAAGGCGACGACGGGUAGCCGGCCUGAGAGGGUGACCGGCCACACUGGGACUGAGACACGGCCCAGACUCCUACGGGAGGCAGCAGUGGGGAAUAUUGCACAAUGGGCGCAAGCCUGAUGCAGCGACGCCGCGUGAGGGAUGACGGCCUUCGGGUUGUAAACCUCUUUCAGUAGGGAAGAAGCGAAAGUGACGGUACCUGCAGAAGAAGCGCCGGCUAACUACGUGCCAUCAGCCGCGGUAAUACGUAGGGCGCAAGCGUUAUCCGGAAUUAUUGGGCGUAAAGAGCUCGUAGGCGGUUUGUCGCGUCUGCCGUGAAAGUCCGGGGCUCAACUCCGGAUCUGCGGUGGGUACGGGCAGACUAGAGUGAUGUAGGGGAGACUGGAAUUCCUGGUGUAGCGGUGAAAUGCGCGAUAUCAGGAGGAACACCGAUGGCGAAGGCAGGUCUCUGGGCAUUAACUGACGCUGAGGAGCGAAAGCAUGGGGAGCGAACAGGAUUAGAUACCCCCGUAGUCC